This is an RNA transcript of Hippopotamus amphibius kiboko, 3656 nucleotides long. It is a transcript of the gene named small integral membrane protein 10-like protein 2A, with no coding region annotated. The transcript is spliced from 4 exons. The record is from RefSeq and is a predicted model, not a curated record. Lineage: Eukaryota; Metazoa; Chordata; Mammalia; Artiodactyla; Hippopotamidae.
GCCGCCUCCUUCGCUCCCUCAGCGCGGGGCCAGCGGCCGGGGCGGAGGCCUGGGGGCGUCGCGGCGCCGGGAGGGCGGGCGGGCGGGCUUCGGAGCGCCGGGCGGCGCGCGGGCGGGCGGCGGGCGCCGGUCUAUAUGGCGGCGGCUCUGUCGGGCCUGGCUGUCCGGCUGUCGCGCUCGGCCGCCGCCCGCUCCUAUGGGGUCUUCUGCAAGGGGCUGACCCGCACGCUGCUCAUCUUCUUCGACCUGGCCUGGCGGUUGCGCAUCAACUUCCCCUACCUCUACAUCGUGGCUUCCAUGAUGCUCAACGUCCGCCUGCAGGUUAUGCCUACACCUUUUCAGUUACGUUGCCUGUGGAAUCAAAUAUCUUAGCCCCAGGUCACCUGGAUUCGUGUAACUAUUAAAAGAGAAGGCCUGAAAAAGGACAGUUGGAGAAGAUGACAUCAUGAAGUAAAUACUAACGUUGUGUGAUCUGAAGUUGGUUGAAUCCUCAGAUGUGGAAUCGCAGACACGGAGGAACCACGUAUAGGAAAGGCUGACUGUAAAGUUGUACUUGGAUUUUCGACUGUGCAGAGGGUCGAUGUCGCUAGCCCCUGAAAUGUUCAAGGGUCACCUGUAUUUGCAAACCAUGUAUCUGAUAAGGAUUAACGUCCAAAAUAUGUAAAGAACUCUUACAACUCAAUAACAAAAAACCCAAUCCAAAAAUUGGCAAAGGACCUGAAUAAACAUUUCUCCAAAGAAGAUAUUCCAAUGGUUCAUAUUGAGAUCCAUUGAAGGCCUUCCGCGAACUGACAGGCGUGUCCUGGGGCUCAGGGUGUGAGAGCACACAGCAUGAGGGACGGCGGCGGGCGUCUCAGCACCCGCCUCGCGGAAGAGAAGGGAGCGGGCAACGACUGGGAUGGACUGUUGUGCAGAGAACUGUUGUGUGAGAGAAAGCGGGAGGAGAGCCCUUGCCCACCAGCUGUCACCUCCAGGGUGAACAAGCCUGCCGGUGAUGCACAUGGAAAUUCACAAAACGAGGAGUUAUCCCUGGAAAUGAAAAAUGAUCUGAGUGAGGUCAGUCUCUUGCUUCACGAUGGCAACAAAGUGCUUCCAUGUUUGCAAGAAUCAAUAUGGAGAAAUUCAGCUUCAGCGGCUGCUCAGAGCGGGACUGAGGGUCUGCUCUUUGCUCCCACAGGAGAGCGUUUUGCUGGGGUGUCCUGUGGCGUCGGGGAAACUCGGGGGAGGGACUGGCGGGGAGGAGGGCCCAGGGCCACUGACAGCCACGGAGGACGGAGCCAGAGAGGAGAGCCUUGGGGGUCAGGACUACCAUGCGGUCAGAAGUGGUCAGAAAUGGGGAUUUCUGAGGAUGAACCACCAAGUGCUCUUCCGGAGAAGCUGGACUCUGAGUUGGAUCCCUCUUGCCUGCGUUCCGUCCUGUCUACACUGCUGCACGCACAUCCCCAAAUAUUCUUGAAUGAUGAGACAAAAUGUGUUCUCCCUGGCCAUUCAAAGCCCAUGUUUUCAGAGCAAAGAGUAGAAUAUGAGAAAAUGCUUUCACGUGUAAAAAGUAUGUCAGAUGACCUGCAGAUAACACUGGCGUUACUGGCUCUACAUGCUUCUGAAUUAGCAGAUCUGUUAUGCCGUAGUUAAGGUACAGGCAGAACAAUAAAAAUAGUGAGAUUAAUUUUAAAAGUUGUCCUAAAAUGAUUUCUUUUGUAUUAAGUCUGGAUGCACACGGUGCAGCCUUGAAGCUCCUGCUUUGGUUUGUACGACCAGACAGACUGAAAGUCAGUGGAAUUGAAAGCUCGUCGGAUACAGAAGGAAAUUUUUGAGUUUUAAAUUGUGCUCGAAAGACAUUCAGGGUUGGGAAGCCAUGUCAAGGAGAAUAUUGAUACAUCCCACAUAAACAGCAGAUUAGAAUUGAAAGAUUUAACAGGAAGGUUUUAAUUUACCUUCAACAUCUAUCCUAGUGUCCCAGAAACGGUCUCUCCAGGUUGUCUCUGACCAUCUAAUGGAAGUAGAUAUUUGUAAAAUCAACCCUGCUGUGCUUGCUCUGAGUCAGGCUGAGUUGUUGAUAAGCUGUUAUCACUUCUGCAUUUUGUAGAAUAAUUUGAGCAAAAUCUAAUUUCUUUUCUCACAUCCCUCUCCUUCCACUUGACAUGCAAUUUAAAUGGAGGCCCUAUGGUGAAAGUUGCAAUAUUAACCUUACCUUUAGAUAACCCUUUCUCAAACUAGGAACCCUAGCAGUGUUACUCAGAAUAAAAAAUGAGCUUGAGCCUAUCUGCUCCAGGGGCUCAGUUAUAGAAAGAAAUCAAGUGUUUCCCUUAGAGCAGGUUUCCAGUUUCUAGGAGUCGAGGUAUCUCUUACAGUAAGGUUUUUUUUUUCUGAGAUAAAUCAUUUUGUUGUGUGUCAAUAACUUUGAUAAAAGACACAUGAAGUUGUACAUUUUUAAGGAGUCCUAAAGUAAGGCUUAACCGUUUUCAGAAUUAUCGAUCAGUUUCUCUUGUGUGCUAAGUUACUAUGCCGUAUGCUAUUUUAGUGUUUUGGGGAAAUGAAAAAUAAAAGCUGUUGUUUAGUAUAAUAAAUGUCUUAUUUUACGCGUGUAAAUCUCAGUUCCCCUUGUCUUUGUUAUUAAUGCUGCCCUCCGAAUACACGAGUCUUUUAGCAAAAUGUUGUUUGCUAAUUUAGAAGAUUGGAAGCAGAGAGUGAAAAACAAAACGUGACGUUACAUUGGAACUCAACUCUCACUUUCCUUCCUGGAUGUAAUGAAAUAGUGUGUUGUGACCCGUGAGGAGGGGUUGCGCUCAUAGAGCCCCAAAGAAAGAGUCCUUGAGUGAACUAUUAAAGCCCAGCUUCGUGGACACUCCACCUCGGGAACUGUUUUCUUGGCAACACCUUCACCCUGCCCCCCCGCCCCCCACACACACCUUUUCUUUUUUGUUUUAAACUCAGUCUACUACUUUGAAAAGGGACUUUCCAUGACUCAUCAGCUGUUUUAUUUCUUUUGUAAAUUUCAAGUAUGUAAAUUUUCUACCAGUUGCAAAGAACAAAUACAGAAUUCCCUAUUUAGCAUUAACUACAUUAAUUUGAAAUGUUUUCAUAUAGUUAUAUCAGAACAAGGUGUGUUUUUUCUAAAAGCUUUGUGGAAAAGCUCACAAUAACUUUUUUCUUUAUAUUAAUUUUUUUAGUGCGCAUAUACUAUGUUGAAAUUUUUCCCUUUGGUGCUAUAUUGGUUCCAGUUCUGUCUGAAGGCGGCCUCUCCUGUGGAACAUUCUGGGGGUAGAGAGGUGAUGACAGAUACCGUGUACAAAGGUUCAUGACUGUGAAAGGCCUUCUAUGAACAUUUUUAUUUUUGAAGCAGUUAGAGAAAUAAGAUAUUCUUUUGACGUCUCCAUGAUUGAAUUAUAAAAGGGAUCGCUCAUUUGAAAUAUUUCAAGUUAUAUCAUUUUGGCAAUGGAAAGCUAAGAGACUCCUGUUUUAAAACUUCUGACGUUUGUACGCAUUUUCUUUUUUGCCUUUGUGGAUUCUGUGCUUAAAGAUUGAACAGCACAAUCACUUUAAAUUUAGAAACAGUGUAUAGUACAAAAUACUGGACUUGGUUAUUCACAUUUGGAAAUCAUAAAUUUUUUUUUUUAACAUUGGAAUGAAUGUUGCGGUCUUGAAGUGAUUAUGAA